UACGGGGGGGGCAAGCGUUGUUCGGAAUUACUGGGCGUAAAGGGCUCGUAGGCGGCCAACUAAGUCAGACGUGAAAUCCCUCGGCUUAACCGGGGAACUGCGUCUGAUACUGGAUGGCUUGAGAUUGGGAGAGGGAUGCGGAAUUCCAGGUGUAGCGGUGAAAUGCGUAGAUAUCUGGAGGAACACCGGUGGCGAAGGCGGCAUCCUGGACCAACACUGACACUGAAAAGCGAAAGCCAGGGGAGCAAACGGG
RNAcentral lists this ribosomal RNA (253 nucleotides) under uncultured bacterium. Its description in RNAcentral is "partial 16S ribosomal RNA". It matches the Rfam family "Bacterial small subunit ribosomal RNA", at positions 524 to 776 of the family's 1533-position model. The record is from RNAcentral.